UACGAAGGGGGCUAGCGUUGCUCGGAAUCACUGGGCGUAAAGCGCACGUAGGCGGCUUUCUAAGUCAGGGGUGAAAUCCUGGAGCUCAACUCCAGAACUGCCUUUGAUACUGGAGAGCUUGAGUCCGGAAGAGGUGAGUGGAACUCCGAGUGUAGAGGUGAAAUUCGUAGAUAUUCGGAAGAACACCAGUGGCGAAGGCGGCUCACUGGUCCGGUACUGACGCUGAUGUGCGAAAGCGUGGGAGCAAACAGG
RNAcentral lists this ribosomal RNA (252 nucleotides) under uncultured bacterium. Its description in RNAcentral is "partial 16S ribosomal RNA". It matches the Rfam family "Bacterial small subunit ribosomal RNA", at positions 524 to 776 of the family's 1533-position model. The record is from RNAcentral.